RNAcentral lists this ribosomal RNA (294 nucleotides) under uncultured microorganism. RNAcentral's name for it is "partial 16S ribosomal RNA". It matches the Rfam family "Archaeal small subunit ribosomal RNA", at positions 330 to 583 of the family's 1478-position model. The record is from RNAcentral.
GUGCAGCAGGCGCGAAAACUCCGCAAUGCUCGAAAGAGUGACGGGGGAUUCCAAGUGCCUACGCUUAGCGUAGGCUGUUCAGAUGCCUAAAAAGCAUCUGGAGUAAGGGCUGGGUAAGACGGGUGCCAUCUGCAGUGGUAAUGAAAAACUUGCUACUGCAAGGCAUAAGCCGCCGCGGUAAGUACCCGCAGCCCGAGUGGUAGUCGCUUUUAUUGGGCCUAAAGCGUCCGUAGCCGGUCUGGUAAAUGCCUGGGGUAAAUCGUGGGGGCCUAACCGUCACGAAUUCCGGGUAGA